GCGGAUGUGGUGCAUGGUGCACCGCUGCUUUUCAUUGCGAAAGUAGGAACAAGUUGAAGCAGCUGUAGGGGUUCGACUCCCCACGUCCGCA
Molecule: non-coding RNA, 91 nt
Organism: Mycena leptocephala
Lineage: Eukaryota; Fungi; Basidiomycota; Agaricomycetes; Agaricales; Mycenaceae
Source: the annotation of a GenBank genome assembly